RNAcentral lists this unclassified non-coding RNA (1246 nucleotides) under Leishmania donovani. Its description in RNAcentral is "gene:LdHU3.32.1480(CDS-product:small_nuclear_ribo nucleoprotein_putative)". Lineage: Eukaryota; Euglenozoa; Kinetoplastea; Trypanosomatida; Trypanosomatidae. The record is from RNAcentral.
AUGUGUACGACGCCCUGUCAGACGUCGUUGCUGAAAUUGCGCAGCGUCCCCCCUCUUCGCCACUUCGUCGUAAAAUUGUUUGCCGCUUCGACAGCAUACACACAACGAACGAAGUGCACUUAACGCUUAGAAUCUGCACCCUCUCACAGCUUUUUAGCAGCAAUGCCGGCGCACAAGACGCUUCCCAACCUCAACCACUUCAUGGAGAAGCGGAUUGUGGUGAAGAUACAAGGUGGCCGCUCCAUCUCCGGCGUGCUGCGCGGCGUCGACGAGCACAUGAGCAUCGUGCUACACGACGCCAUGGAUGAGACCCGCAACGCAGCUGUCAGCGAGGAGGCCAGGUUGGCUCUCGGCACCACCGUGAUUCGUGGCAGCGCCAUCGUCGAGAUCGUGAGCGCCGAUGUUUGAGAAGGUCAGAGAACGUAUGUGCACCAGGACGAACUGGGGUCGCAUGUAAAGGAUCUUUUAGUCGUGCCGCACCGUCGGCGGAAAGAGGGCUGACGUGGCCACCUGAGCAGCAUACGUUUUCGUAAAUAAAUGAGAAGUCGGUGUGCGUAUCUUCUUGUCUGGGGGAGUGUCGUCUUUGUUGGAUGAUGAGAGAACUCUUUUUGUGUGUGUGUGUGUGUUCGUGUGUCUCCGUAUGUCCGUCUCUGCGUGCCUGGUUUUUGCCCAGCGCCUUCAGCCCAGCUCCUGCUCUCCCUCAUCUCUCGGCCUCUUUCGAUUUGUCGGUCAUCUCCCUUUGCUGCCGCAAGACACGUAACGGUGCGUGCCGACGCGGGUGAGGGACAUGGGCUGUGCAGGCGAAAGCUGCCCGCGGAUGCGAUGAGACGUGGCGCGAGGACGUACACCCUGCAACAGAACAGAAUCCCCAUCGCAGACAACACGAAUAGUCUAAGGUGGUGGACGGAUCCACUCAUGGCUAGAUACGGAGCACAGCAGAACGUGAGUGCGGGAGAGUCCGCGCGCCGCCUCGUUCUCUUGUGCGUUGCCUUCCGAUCUCCGCGCAUCCUUGCUCUGACACAGGGCUGGCGCUCGGCUCGUUGCGUGAUGACCGCGACCGCGUGCCGUGCGGCGCGACAAAGCCCACACGCACUCACCACUCGGAUACCAAGCUCGCGAGCUGCUUCACAUGCUGCCUGUACGUCUGCUUCUUCCGUGAUGUUCCUCGUUACUCUUCUUCCCGCGUCCUUUGACACUCUCUCUACCCGCUGCUCUCUCUCUCUGUCUGUCUGUCUCACUUUCGCAG